RNAcentral lists this ribosomal RNA (411 nucleotides) under uncultured bacterium. RNAcentral describes it as "bacterial SSU rRNA". It matches the Rfam family "Bacterial small subunit ribosomal RNA", at positions 28 to 436 of the family's 1533-position model. The record is from RNAcentral.
GAUGAACGCUGGCGGCGUGCUUAACACAUGCAAGUCGAGCGAUGAAGUUUCCUUCGGGAAACGGAUUAGCGGCGGACGGGUGAGUAACACGUGGGUAACCUGCCUCAUAGAGUGGAAUAGCCUUCCGAAAGGAAGAUUAAUACCGCAUAAUGUUGAAAGAUGGCAUCAUAAUUUAACCAAAGGAGCAAUCCGCUAUGAGAUGGACCCGCGGCGCAUUAGCUAGUUGGUGGGGUAACGGCCUACCAAGGCGACGAUGCGUAGCCGACCUGAGAGGGUGAUCGGCCACAUUGGGACUGAGACACGGCCCAGACUCCUACGGGAGGCAGCAGUGGGGAAUAUUGCACAAUGGGGGAAACCCUGAUGCAGCAACGCCGCGUGAGUGAUGAAGGUUUUCGGAUUGUAAAGCUCUGU